GGGGGCGACCUGGAUUCGACGGGGGUGGAGAGGCGAUGGCUGCGUGUCGAGGUCCCAUGUCCUCGUUAAACUGUGGGAACACUCUAUAAUUGCGGACGAUACGUACGCAAUGGCUGCGUAACUAAAACGCAGUCCGUUCCGACGGGCUUCGCCCGCAGGGCCCGACCGGAGCGCCGACUUAUGCGGGCUGGCUCGCGGACCUCCGUUCGAGGGUCCGUGAGCGAGAGCUGAUUGAACUGGCGUGCCGGCAACCCCGUUUACCGGGGCGCCCGCGCGUGAGAUUCAAAAGGUAAACUACACACGUAGACGCUGUCGUUGAUCUGCUUUCGGACGCGGGUUCGAUUCCCGCCGCCUCCACCA
RNAcentral lists this transfer-messenger RNA (360 nucleotides) under Gemmatimonadota bacterium. RNAcentral describes it as "Gemmatimonadetes bacterium transfer-messenger RNA". It matches the Rfam family "transfer-messenger RNA". Rfam says of the family: Bacterial tmRNA, also known as 10Sa RNA or SsrA, is named for its dual tRNA and mRNA-like properties. Its role is to liberate the mRNA from a stalled ribosome. To accomplish this part of the tmRNA is used as a reading frame that ends in a translation stop signal. Lineage: Bacteria; Pseudomonadati; Gemmatimonadota. The record is from RNAcentral.